This 1317-nucleotide long non-coding RNA is filed under the name Ornithorhynchus anatinus (platypus). RNAcentral's name for it is "lncRNA (ENSOANG00000037371.1)". Lineage: Eukaryota; Metazoa; Chordata; Mammalia; Monotremata; Ornithorhynchidae. The record is from RNAcentral.
AUGUUGGGGUCGUCCAUCCUACUACCCUCCGGCUACUCGAUGACCCCCUACUGUCUGCGGGUGCCUGGCCUGGCUGUCGGGGUCCCCCCGGUCCUCCCCCCUCCCACCCCCUUCCUUACCUGGCUGCCCAGGCCCGUUGAGGGGGUGGGAUGGGGUCGGGGGGGUCCUCCAGCGGGGGGUCCGGGGUCGGGGGUCCCGGAAGGGGGUCGGGGGGUGGAUGGUGCGGCCCCCGCGCGGGCUGCGACCUGCCGUCUAAGCGGGCCGGAGCGGACUGCGGCGGCCGCCGCCGGAGCCCUGCGCACCGCCUCGGCCCCGCCCCCGCCCCGCCCCUCCUGCUCCCCCCGGUUGCUCCCCAAGAUCCUCCCCCGACCCCCCUGCUUGUUCUCGGCUCCCCCCGGCUGCUCCCCUGCCUGCUCCCCCGCAUCCCCCGGCUCCCCCCGGCUGCUCCUCCGGACCCCCUGGCUGUCCUCGGCCCCUCCCCUGGCUCCCUCCGACUGCUCCCCCGGCUCCCCCCGGCUGCUCCCCCCGAUCCCCCUGGUUGUUCUCGGCCCCUCCCCUGGUUCCCCCCGGUGCUCCCCUGGCUACUCCCCCGAAUCCCCCUGGCUGCCCCCAGCUGCUCCCCCGGCUGCUCCCCCAGAUCCUCCUGACUCCCCUUGGAUGCUCCCCCUGGUCCCCCCGCUGCUCCCCCGGCUCCCCCGGCUGUUCCACUGGAUGCUUCCCCGGAUCCUCUUGGCUCCCCCCGGCUCCUCCCCUGGCUGCUCCCCCGGCUGCUCCCCUGGCUACUUCCCCGUAUCCCCCUGGCUGCCCCCAGCUGCUCCCCCGGCUGCUCCCCCAGAUCCUCCUGACUCCCCUUGGAUGCUCCCCCUGGUCCCCCCGCUGCUCCCCCGGCUCCCCCGGCUGUUCCACUGGAUGCUUCCCCGGAUCCUCCUGGCUCCCCCCGGCUCCUCCCCUGGCUGCUCCCCCGGCUGCUCCCCUGGCUACUCCCCCGUAUCCCCCUGGCUGCCCCCAGCUGCUCCCCCGGCUGCUCCCCCAGAUCCCCCUGACUCCCCUUGGAUGCUCCCCCUGGUCCCCCCGCUGCUUCCCUGGCUGCUCCCCCCGGUCUCCCUGGCUGCCCUCGACCCCUUCCCUGGCUCCCCCGGCUGCUCCCCCGGCUCCCCCUGGCUUCCCCCCGGCUCCUUCUCUGGCUGCUCCCCCGGAUCCCCCUGGCUCCCCUUAGCUGCUCCCCUGGCUUGCUCCCCCGAAUCCCCCCGGCUGCCCUCGGCUCCUCCCCUGGCUCCCCCCGGCUGCUCCCACGGCUGCUCCCCCAGAUCCCCCUGA